This 423-nucleotide ribosomal RNA is filed under the name uncultured bacterium. Its description in RNAcentral is "bacterial SSU rRNA". It matches the Rfam family "Bacterial small subunit ribosomal RNA", at positions 207 to 622 of the family's 1533-position model. The record is from RNAcentral.
AAGACCUUGCACUUUUGGAGCGGCCGAUGUCUGAUUAGCUAGUUGGUGGGGUAAUGGCCUACCAAAGCUUCGAUCAGUAGCUGGUCUGAGAGGACGGCCAGCCACACUGGGACUGAGACACGGCCCAGACUCCUACGGGAGGCAGCAGUGGGGAAUUUUGGACAAUGGGCGCAAGCCUGAUCCAGCCAUGCCGCGUGAGUGAAGAAGGCCUUCGGGUUGUAAAGCUCUUUCAGCCGGGAAGAAAAGGUUGCGACUAAUAAUCGCAAUCCAUGACGGUACCGAAAGAAGAAGCACCGGCUAACUACGUGCCAGCAGCCGCGGUAAUACGUAGGGUGCGAGCGUUAAUCGGAAUUACUGGGCGUAAAGGGUGCGCAGGCGAUUUUGUAAGUCAGAUGUGAAAUCCCCGGGCUUAACCUGGGAACU